Molecule: ribosomal RNA, 492 nt
Filed under: uncultured bacterium
Lineage: Bacteria
Description: bacterial SSU rRNA
Rfam family: Bacterial small subunit ribosomal RNA
Source: RNAcentral
AAAUGAAUAGACGGGGGCCCGCACAAGCGGUGGAGCAUGUGGUUUAAUUCGAUGAUACGCGAGGAACCUUACCAGGGCUUAAAUGCAGUGCGACGGAUCUGGAAACAGGUCUUUCUUCGGACGCACUGCAAGGUGCUGCAUGGUUGUCGUCAGCUCGUGCCGUGAGGUGUCAGGUUAAGUCCUAUAACGAGCGCAACCCCUGCCGUUAGUUGCCAGCAUGUCAUGAUGGGGACUCUAACGGGACUGCCGGUGCAAACCGCGAGGAAGGUGGGGAUGACGUCAAAUCAUCACGGCCCUUACGUCCUGGGCCACACACGUGCUACAAUGGCCGGUACAGCGAGCAGCCACGCCGCAAGGCGGAGCGAAUCUAUAAAGCCGGUCACAGUUCGGAUCGGGGCCUGCAACUCGGCCCCGUGAAGCUGGAAUCGCUAGUAAUCGGAUAUCAGCCAUGAUCCGGUGAAUACGUUCCCGGGCCUUGUACACACCGCCCGU